RNAcentral lists this unclassified non-coding RNA (149 nucleotides) under uncultured Dothideomycetes. RNAcentral describes it as "sequence contains ITS2". The record is from RNAcentral. RNAcentral also lists the same sequence under 1 other name. Lineage: Eukaryota; Fungi; Ascomycota; Dothideomycetes.
GUACCCUCAAGCUUUGCUUGGUGUUGGGCGUUUUGUCUUUUCACAAAGACUCGCCUCAAAGUAAUUGGCAGCCAGUGUUUUGGUAGUAAGCGCAGCACAUUUUGCGUCUUAGUCCCUUGACAGCGGCAUCCACAAAGCCUCUUUCUCAC